This 365-nucleotide transfer RNA is filed under the name uncultured Microcystis sp. RNAcentral describes it as "partial 16S-23S ribosomal RNA intergenic spacer". The stretch from base 136 to 209 matches the Rfam family "tRNA". Lineage: Bacteria; Bacillati; Cyanobacteriota; Cyanophyceae; Chroococcales; Microcystaceae. The record is from RNAcentral.
AAAGGGAGACCUAAUUCAGGUAGGAGACGAAAAAAAAGUAGUCCCUACCAAGAAUCAAUCCCAAAAGGUCGGAGCGAGGCGAAAUUGGCUUUCAAACUAGGUUCUGGGUUCACACAAGACCUGAAUCAGGAACAAGGGCUAUUAGCUCAGGUGGUUAGAGCGCACCCCUGAUAAGGGUGAGGUCCCUGGUUCGAGUCCAGGAUGGCCCACCUGUACAGGUGGCAAAAACAAAGAAAAGAAGCUCCGAAUCAGCACCUUAUCUUAUUUAUAUAGUAAGAGAGAAUGCUGGCUCUGAGUAAAGAGUCCAGAGGAACCUUGAAAACUGCAUAGAGCUAGGUGAAAAAGCCAAAAAAGAAGACCGCAAG